GGUGGCUCAGUCAUUGAGUGUCUGCCUUUGGCUCAGGUCAGGAUCCCAGGGUCCUGGGAUCGAGCCCUGCAUCGGGCUCCUGCUUGGCGGGAAGCCUACUUCUCCCUCUCCCACUCCCCCUGCUUGUGUUCCCUCUCUAGCUGUCUCUCUCUGUCAAAUAAAUAAAUAAAAUCUUUAAAAAAAAAAAAAAAAAAAAAGCCUUUCUGUUAGGGAAUAUGUCAGCUGUACAGAGUAGAGCAAAUAGUUUGACUCCCAAAGACCCACCACCCCACUUCAGCCACUCUGGGCCUGGGCCAGUCCCAGUCCCGUGUUGUCUGUACUCCCGCCCACUUUCCUUCCUCUGCAAUUAUUUUGAAGUAAAUUUCAGCCCCUGUUUUCUCUGUAAAUAUUUUGGUAUGUGUCUUUCAAAGAUAAGUACUCUUAUUUUUAAAAAAUAUAACAUAAAAAACUGUAACACCUAAAAACUUUAACCAUUUCUUAGUAUCUAGUAUUUGAGAGUAUUUUUACAGCCAACUUCCCAUAAUAUCACUAAGUCCCUCAAAAGGAAGCACAAGGGCAUUUUUUUUAUUAUUAUUAUAACAUCAGAUUCUGAACUAUGUCCACCCAAUUCUGUAGAGAUGCCAAGAUGGCUAUAAAUUAGGAGCUGCUUCUCCAACAUGCUGAAGUAAAAUUUGGUAUGGCUACAUCAUCGGGUCAGCUUCAGAAUACUUUAGAACAAGGAUUGAUUCCUCCUACCCACAAGGGAUCUGGGUAAAUAAGCCUUAUGGUUAUAAAAGCUUCUUGUCCGGGUUUGUAUUGGGCCUGGCUGUGACUAGUUUCUGCUUGUUAGAGCUGGUUUAGAAACUGACUUCCCUUUCCUGCUGGGGAAGAUCAGCAAUCUGUGAUGUUAUCUGGCCAAGAAGGGGCUGGUUCCUUCUGUUGUAUCUCCUGGUGUCUCUUUUUGUCCAACCCUGCAGCAAAGAAAGCCACUUGGAUGCUAGCUCAUUUCUUUGUUCAAUAUCUAUAUAUUGAGCACCUACACUGAUUUUGUAAACACCGGUGCUUCACCAAGAAAAUUCUGCCCAGUCCCUCUUAGUAUCUGAACUAAGGGUUGGCCCGACCUUCAAGAUGUUCUGGCAACCAAAUCGUUCCAGCAAUCUGCUCUUGCCCUUUUAUAGGAUGAGGAAGUAUGUGAACUAACAGAAUAGCAAUGGGGCAUCUGACAUGGUGUCUUCCCAGAGCUAAUAUUCUAGUGAAGGGCCCAGGUAAUGAACAAGUUAAUUGCAGAUUAUAUUAAGUGCUAUAGAGGAAAUUUUGACAGACUGAAGGUUUAUUAGGCUUGUAUCUUUUUUAUAACGUGCACAGGUCUCUGAGGAGAUGAUAUUUGAGCUAAGACCUGCAUAAUGAGAGAAGGCAGCCAUGGGAAGAACCAGAGGAAGGUUGUUCCAGGCAUAGGGAGAGCAGUGCAAAGCACUGGGGUUGGGAACAAGUCUGGCAUGUUUGAAAAAACCCCAAACGAAGCUGGUGUGGCCUGUGGCUGCAGUGUCGCAAGUUGAGAGGCGGACAGUACAGAUGUUGGGAGAGAGCUAGGAGGGUAGGAGGUCAGAAUUCGUUUUAGGUGCAUAAUUGUAGUCGUACAAGAAGAAAAUAAAUGGAGGCCCACAUAUUCUCUGUAGAAAGCAUCGGAGAGCCCUGAAAUGUUUCUGACGUCAGCUCAGAAGGUUCCCCAGGGUGUCCUGGGUGUUAGAAAGCCCUGCACCUGCUCUGCAAAGUGUAGGUGGGUGACCCCCCAGCGUGGAGAGCUCGCAGCCAGCCUGCUGGGGGCCCAGGUCAGUGUGGAGGUGCAUACCUGUGCACAGUAUUGUUCAUAUUGAGUUACUGGCAUUAAACAGGUAGGGAUGAGAAGGGGCACGGUCAUCAUUCCCUCUUGUGAAGGUCAAGAGGCAGCAAAGAGAAAGCUUCUGGACAGCCAAAAACAAGCACUCAUUCCAGGCUGCGCAAGGUGGAGUCAGAGCCAGUGAUUCCGUGACUUACUGUAGCCACUUUUUAUUUAGUAAGUUAAGCUCUGUAAUGAGCUACGUGUCUACUAUGUGCCCUAUGGAGGUGAUGCAUAAACCCAUUCCUUGAAGUUCUAAGGUCCUGGCUGGGUGCCAGCUCUCACGAAGGGGAAGCUCUGGGGAGCCGGGGCUGGCAAUGGAGUCACCCUUUCAAUCUUGAGGAAGCUCUUGAUAAACACCCAAGAUCCAAGCCGUCAACCUGCCAGGAGUUCAAAGCUUUUUGAUUUGAAAAUGACUUGAUCAGAGGUCAGAUCUCUGCAGAAGAUCUUAUCAGGAGGUGGGCGCAAGUCCUGAGUUUGAAGUCCAGGCUGUGGAAGAUUUAACAAGCACCACUGGAUUACGUUUGUUUAUCAUUCAGAACUACAUUCAUCCAAAUUCACAACUUUUUCCCUUAACUUAAAAUAUCUCAUUGUUAAAGGCGAAUACAGGAAGUAACAAACGCAUAUCCUUCAGGAUUAUGCUGAGUGAGAAGGUCAUGUCAAAGGAUCCUAAAAUCCCAUUCUGCUCCCUGGUCUUAUUAAUAGGUUUUGUUAUUUUUAAAGUUUAUUUAUUUACCUUUUUUUUUUUGAGUAAUUUUAUUUAUUUUACUUAUUUACUUAUUUCUACCCCCAACAUGGGGCUCAAACUUACGGCCCUAAAGAGUUGCAUGCUCUAUCGACUGAGCCAGCCAGAUGCCCCUAUAAUUUGUUCAUGGAAUACACUUUAUUUUUUUUUUUAAAGAUUUUAUUUAUUUAUUUGACAGAGACAUAGCGAGAGAAGGAACACAAGCAGGGGGAGUAGGAGAGGGAGAAGCAGGCUUUCCGCCGAGCAGAGAGCCUGAUGCGAUGCGGGGCUCGAUCCCAGGACCCUGGGAUCAUGACCUUAGCCAAAGGCAGACGCUUAACGACUGAGUCACCCAGGCGCCCCAUGUAAUACACUUUAAAAACUAUCUUGAGGUGUUCCCAAUUUUGAGGAGUUCAGAGUACCUGAAUCAUUAUUUUCAUCCUUUUAAAUAUUCCUAGUAAGAUUAUUUGCCUCAGUUCCUUUUUGGAACAAGCCACAGGAUCAACGCAUAAAGCUUGUGUGUGUGAAAAGUAAGGGACAAAAGGUAUGAAUGAGAACCUGGGGCUCCGGAGAGGGAGGGCUGCCGAAGGCGCCUCAAAAGAACUGCUAUCAGGGAGAAGGAGCAUUUCUAAUCCUAACUCCGCUCUUACAGCUCAGUUGCUAUGAAAACACGAGCCACCCUCUGCUCUUGCUCACUCACCACUGGAAGCUGGGAGCUUUUAAUUUUUAUUUUUUAAAGAUUUUAUUAGAGAGAGAGCACAAGUGGGGGGGGGUAGGGCAGAGGGAGAGGGAGAAGAGACUCCCCACUGAGCAGGGAGCCCCACAAGGAGCUUGAUCCCAGGACUCUGGGAUCCUGGCCUGAGCAGAAGGCAGAUGCUUAACUGACAGAGCCACCCAGGCGCCCCAUGCUGGGAGCUUUUAAAAGUUAAGAGUUUUGGAUCUUUGACCCCAGGGAGUGAGACUAGUUAGGUCUACUUUUAACAAGAUUAUUGAUUUUUUUUUUUUUUUUGGCUUGUUUGAGGUAAACUUUUUGGCCUUAUUUGCUACUUUUCAUAGUGAAUUCAAAGGUUAAUUUCAGCUGACAGUGACUUGCCCGGAUGUCAAGUCUGAAAGCCUUCCAUUUUUGUCCUAUUUGGUGUUGGCAUGAUGAUAGUGGGGCCAUCUGGGAAAGCCCAGACCCACUUUUCUUGUAUACCCCACCUACACUCAGAGGGAAACCCACCAGACAACACCUUUCUGUCUUGUAAAAUACUCUGAUAAAUUGCAAGUUUGCUGUUUUCCUAACAAACAUUUAGCUCAUUAAUCGUUAAAAAGUCACCCUUAUUAUAAUUGCAUAUUAAUUGAAUAUCCAUCCUGUGGAAGACCCCAGGCAAAGCAGAGGAAGUCUCCCCUUUGACCUAAAAAUUUGUAUUACCAAGCUGUCUUAUAAACAUGAGUCCUAGGCCCAAAAAUUACUCUCUCUUACAUUUUAUAGUUUUCAAAAUAUUGUCAAGGUUAUGUUCAUAAAUUACCCUGUGUGAACAUCCUAAGCCUGUGCGAGGGACAUGGCAGAUUUUAUCAUGAGUAGCAGCCGUACUGUUGCUCUUAUUCACAGUCCGAUAAAGUGGUUCAGGGUUGUUGAGGCACCUGAGAUCAGACCCUAGUGGGACUGAGCUAGGAUGAGAACCCAGAGAGUACUGUGGGGCCUUCCCCAGACACUCUGUUCCACAGCCUCCCAAGAAGGUUGACCUCGGCUGCAGGCAUCUUCUGAGCUGUCCUCUUGCAGGGAAAGCUUGCAGUCCCCAGAGUCUGAACCCAGGGCACCUUGUACACCCACCUUGGGGAAACGGAGUCUUGGCCACCAAGAGCCAGGCAGAAGGCAAGCCUGGAAGGGAGAGUUGGUCUCUCCUCAUUUGGAGACUGUAUCUCUUGGCUUUUGUUGUUGUCUUGGCUGCCCUUGGAUGUACUUGUGGUUUUGAAAGGUGGCCAAAGCGAGAAGCCAGGGCGCUCUUAAACCUGCUGCUUGAUGUCACAGAAGAAGCCUUUGUUCUGCAGGAGAGGUCUGCAGACAGGAUUUCCUCCCGACAUUAGCGUUUGUUUGACUGCUGUCCCUUUGAUUCACUUAUCUUCAAGGGUGAAUUUUUAUUUGAAUCUGGGACCUUCCUUGGGCUGAGAGGGACCGGUUCCUGUUGUUGAGAUGUCUGUGUUGUCGGGAUAGCCGAAGGAUCAGCUCUGGGAGGCCGGUGCGGGUCCUCUUCCUGCCUGUGGGUACGUGGAGGCAUGCAUUCCUGGGAACAGCUGCGGGGUGCCCAAUUCCUUCGGCCCCUUGCGCCGUGGGGGCAUGUGGUGGGACAUGGUGAUGUUUCAUCAGUUUGCAUGAGCGGAGCUGACUGACUAGUCACAAGUGUUUUAACUGACGGGGGCCAGAAAGUCGGCAGAAUUAUCCCAAAUUAAAAUCCAUAUACUUUCCUGGGCUGUAAGUUACCUACCGUGUUGCAGCAUCUGCUGUUGUAAGUAGAAGCAAAGUGGAAGGCACAGGGUCUGUGCAGACUCUUCUCAAAACACUGAUUGAUUGAUUGAUUGAUUGAUUGAUUGGUUUUUUUAAAAAGAUUUUAUUUAUUUGCCAGAGAGAGCACAAGCAGGGAGAGUGGCAGGCAGAGGGAGAAGCAAGCUCCUCGCUGAGCAAGGGGCCUGAUGUGGGACUCGAUCCGAGGACCCUGAGAUUAUGAUCUGAGCUGAGCCCAGGCUUAACUGACUGAGCCACCCAGGCGCCCCUCAAAACACUGAUUUAAAUAUCUAACUCUGGGCUGUAUCACUGCCCUCACCCAAAAAAUUAUUUCAUUUGUUCCUCUUGAGAACCACCAAGUUCUAGAACUACUGCUUUCUCCUUAACAAAGCAAGAUGUUUCCCCAGACAUGCAAAUCAGUCAGCCUUUAGCUUGCAGUUAAUCAGAGGGAUCUACAAGGUAAAGGUCCACAUGCAAAUAUCUGCCUUUUAGUUAUACACAGGCAUGUCUGCUCUCUGCAAAUUGGAAGCUUUUCGUGCACAGAGGAAAAGUUGGGUUUAGAGGUGCAAAAGUCUAUGUACUAUUUUAAUAGAUUCCGUUUAAUAGAAGGCACAUUUAUUGAGUUAGCAGAGUAACAAUCGCUUAAUAGCCAAGAAUGUCUCCAGGCAAAUUAUAGUCCAUUUGUUGAAUUUUUAUUUUUGAAAUUUCAAGUUGCGUUUUACUAACAUUUUGCAGUGCCCCUUGGUGUUUGAAUGCAGCUGUUGGCAUGGGGUAGUGCAUUCUGAGGAAUGGUGCAUGUUCAGGCCCUGGUGGCCCCUGGUGUGCUGAGCUGGGAGCAGCUGGGUCAGAGUGAGUGCAAAUGUCAACCAAGAAAAUGAUGGGAGAAUUACACAAAGCAGUCCUUGUUGAGUGAUGCUGCUCAACAUCUUCUCUGCCCCCACCCCCAGGACCUAUAAAUCAGGGUUUCUUAGGCCUCCUGCAUGCUGUCUGGGCAAGGUCAGGUUUUCAGUCUUCUGAGAGACAGAAACUCGGAGAGUUUUUCCACACCUUUCGGUAUAUGUAGAAACUUAUUGUAAACAGAAGGUACUGUGCGGUUACAAGUUACUUGUGUUCUUAACACAUGUGGAUUUGGGAGCCUUCGCAGCCUGGCCGGAGGAUCCAGGCUGGAGAAGCUGUCAGUGCUGUUUUUGAUGGGAAGGAGACUCCUCCAUGGGGCCCGUAGGACUGAGAAGCAGGCAGGCCACAGCCCCCCCCGCGGCUGCGAGCUUUGUGGUGCUGCCAUCUCACGCAGUCUGUCCCCAGGAGACUAGCUGCAGGGUUGGUUGUAGAAUUUCAGGCUGUCUCUUUUUAGAGCUCCCAAAGACAAGCGCAUGGUCUUCUUGUUUUAAGGAUUCUGAUGUUAUUUAAAAAUUAUAGAAGUCUGGGACCCCUUGGUGGCUCAGUCGGUUAAGCGUCUGCCUUCGGCUCAGGUCAUGAUCCCAGGGUCCUGGGAUCGAGCCCCACAUUGGGCUCCCUGCUCGGUGGGGAAGGCUGCUUCUCCCUCUCCCAGUCCCCCUGCUUGUGUUCCCUCUCUCGCUGUGUCUCUCUCUGUCAAAUAAAUAAAUAAAAUCUUAAAAACAAA
Long non-coding RNA from Mirounga angustirostris (Northern elephant seal), 6685 nucleotides. RefSeq lists it as uncharacterized. The record is from RefSeq and is a predicted model, not a curated record. The transcript is spliced from 2 exons. Lineage: Eukaryota; Metazoa; Chordata; Mammalia; Carnivora; Phocidae.